CAGCAGCCGCGGGAACACGAAGGGUGCAAGCGUUAAUCGGAAUUACUGGGCGUAAAGCGCGCGUAGGUGGUUUGGUAAGAUGGAUGUGAAAUCCCCGGGCUCAACCUGGGAACUGCAUCCAUAACUGCCUGACUAGAGUACGGUAGAGGGUGGUGGAAUUUCCUGUGUAGCGGUGAAAUGCGUAGAUAUAGGAAGGAACACCAGUGGCGAAGGCGACCACCUGGACUGAUACUGACACUGAGGUGCGAAAGCGUGGGGAGCAAACAGGAUUAGAUACCCGCGUAGUCCCUGUCUCUUAUAC
This 301-nucleotide ribosomal RNA is filed under the name uncultured bacterium. RNAcentral's name for it is "partial 16S ribosomal RNA". It matches the Rfam family "Bacterial small subunit ribosomal RNA", at positions 509 to 807 of the family's 1533-position model. The record is from RNAcentral.